GACUCUGUAGUGAAGUUCAUAGUGAGUUGCAAGCUCAUUGAUGUGCAUGUAUUGCGCCGGAGUCU
RNAcentral lists this transfer RNA (65 nucleotides) under Curruca curruca (lesser whitethroat). RNAcentral's name for it is "Sylvia curruca (lesser whitethroat) tRNA-Cys". The record is from RNAcentral. Lineage: Eukaryota; Metazoa; Chordata; Aves; Passeriformes; Sylviidae.